UUAAUUAAUGAGAACAAGUAAUAUAAGAGAAUUCGUAAAGAACUUUCUAGUUCUUUAAUAUUUACCCAUGUAAAUUCUCUAUUAUUGUUGCACAUCAUACUUAAAUUGAUAUGGCUAAUCCGAAUGUCAAUUGAAUAAAUUAUCAAUAUUGAUAAGUUCAUGUUUAUACAUGACAUGUGCAAUUCUCAAUAAACUCCAAGUUUAUUAUGAUAUGGAUUUUUAUAUCAAUUAACAUCCACUUUAUUGUGGCAUUCUUUUGUUUGUGUAGUACAAACUGGAGAAUAAAGCGGCUAGCUUUUCAUAUACAGAUUAUCCCGCUACAAGUUGUAGUA
This 332-nucleotide long non-coding RNA is filed under the name Nicotiana benthamiana. RNAcentral describes it as "long non-coding RNA (NBEN_LNC014182)". The record is from RNAcentral. Lineage: Eukaryota; Viridiplantae; Streptophyta; Magnoliopsida; Solanales; Solanaceae.